Molecule: ribosomal RNA, 459 nt
Filed under: uncultured bacterium
Lineage: Bacteria
Description: partial 16S ribosomal RNA
Rfam family: Bacterial small subunit ribosomal RNA
Source: RNAcentral
CCUACGGGCGGCAGCAGUGAGGAAUAUUGGUCAAUGGGCGGGAGCCUGAACCAGCCAAGCCGCGUGAGGGAAGAAGGUACAGCGUAUCGUAAACCUCUUUUGUCAGGGAACAAAGGCGGGGACUAGUCCCCGGAUGAGGGUACCUGAAGAAAAAGCAUCGGCUAACUCCGUGCCAGCAGCCGCGGUAAUACGGAGGAUGCGGGCGUUAUCCGGAUUUAUUGGGUUUAAAGGUGGCGCAGGCGGCCUGUUAAGUCAGCGGUAAAGGCCCGGGGAUAAACCCCGGCGAGCCGUUGAAACUGGCGGGCUGGAGUUGGAGAGAAGUACGCGGAAUGCGCGGUGUAGCGGUGAAAUGCUUAGAUAUCGCGCAGAACCCCGAUUGCGAAGGCAGCGUACCGGCUCCACACUGACGCUGAGGCACGAAAGCGUGGGGAGCGAACAGGAUUAGAUACCCUUGUAGUC